GGAAUAUUGGACAAUGGGCGAAAGCCUGAUCCAGCCAUGCCGCGUGGAUGAAGAAGGCCCUAGGGUUGUAAAGUCCUUUCGAUGGUGAAGAUAAUGACGGUAACCAUAGAAGAAGCCCCGGCUAAUUUCGUGCCAGCAGCCGCGGUAAUACGAAAGGGGCUAGCGUUGUUCGGAAUUACUGGGCGUAAAGCGCACGUAGGCGGCUUGGUAAGUUAGAGGUGAAAUCCCGGGGCUCAACCCCGGAACUGCCUUUAAAACUACUUGGCUAGAGGAUGUGAGAGGAUAGUGGAAUUCCGAGUGUAGAGGUGAAAUUCGUAGAUAUUCGGAAGAACACCAGUGGCGAAGGCGACUGUCUGGCACAUUUCUGACGCUGAGGUGCGAAAGCGUGGGGAGCAA
RNAcentral lists this ribosomal RNA (396 nucleotides) under uncultured bacterium. RNAcentral's name for it is "bacterial SSU rRNA". It matches the Rfam family "Bacterial small subunit ribosomal RNA", at positions 358 to 771 of the family's 1533-position model. The record is from RNAcentral.